CUGCCAGUCUCACAUGGAGGUCAGACAUCGAUCCACUCUGAGACAAGACAGCGAUCACAGGUGCCGGUUUUAUCUACGAUUUUACAGAAGUAAGAAGGAAGCAGCUUUACGAGCCACUGGAACCGGAUUAGAGAUGAAGGUUUUGACAACCGCCCUCCUCUUUGUUCUUUUGUCUACAAUUGCAUCCACUAAGCCGAUUGGGCCGGCGUCGACAUCAUGGUACCAACAUUGCUGGCAAAGACUCGACACGGGGACGGCCAAGCCGGCAUUGGUUUUCUUGGCGGCCUCGUGACUCGUCAUCGGAGUCCAAUCAGUCCUCGGACUCUUCCUCCGAAUCCAGCGAAUCCUCAGAGAGUCGGUCUUCAGAGGAGUCUGCCGAGGUCACUACACCAGAUGGGAGCACGUUCACUUCUGAACCAGACACAACGAUUUCAGACGAGCCAACUGUGGAUGCGUCAACGCCCCCGGCAGCAACACGGGCCACGGCCGUUCCCGGGACGUCACCAGGAUGCGUGACUCUGGAUUUUACCGAGGGCUUUACCACAAAUGUUCCCGUCACAGAAAACCGAGGAGACAACUAACCAACCACGUCCCCGCUGCAGACGCAUCGCUGCAUCCCAUCAACAAGUUGUUGCGUUUGCAGGGUGGCGACACAAGCGGGAGAAAAUCCCACCUGCAACUAUCGCUUAUCACCAUAGAUGUUUCCUCAUGAAAGGUCAACAUAAGAGGCAGCGAGGCUAGUGUGAAAAAAGAGGGCUCGCUACUAUAAGUCAAAAUAGCUGCCUGAUUCUGAAAAAGAAUUGCUCAAUUUAAGAAAAGUGUAGCGGUAACUUUACAUUAACAAAUCUGUGGCUCGGGCACGUUUACCGUAGAAAGGAGGUAUGAUACUUUGGGGCAUUUACUUUUGGUGACCUUGUUACAACAAGCACAUUUACAUAUUCAACAACAACAAAAACAGUUUCCCUUCUGCAUGAAGCAGCCUGCAUCUUUGUUGGCCUGGAUCUACAGGAUCUGCAAGAGUGUGUGUUUUAUAUAACAGUCAUGUUUGUUUCUUCUUAAGGAAAAUAAAGGAAUCUAAAUUACGUUAUAAAA
Molecule: long non-coding RNA, 1092 nt
Organism: Gasterosteus aculeatus aculeatus (three-spined stickleback)
Lineage: Eukaryota; Metazoa; Chordata; Actinopteri; Perciformes; Gasterosteidae
Source: RefSeq, a predicted model, not a curated record